Molecule: long non-coding RNA, 869 nt
Filed under: Dromaius novaehollandiae (emu)
Lineage: Eukaryota; Metazoa; Chordata; Aves; Casuariiformes; Dromaiidae
Description: lncRNA (ENSDNVG00000006175.1)
Source: RNAcentral
CUGGCCCAGCCCAGCCCAGCCCCACCACGAAGUUUGGGGGCCGCAAGUGCGAGGAGGUGGCGGCGGAGCGAGGGGAGCGCAGGCCCGGCCAGGGCGGCAGGUGCUCCGGGGCACGAAGCCCCCUCGGACAGGAGCGCGCGGAGGCUGUGUUUUGGAAAGGCGGACAUUCAGAUAACUCUGCCCAACUGCUUAAUUUAAAAAUAUUCUGAAGUGUAGAAAAAGAAACGGCCCGAAUCGCCCCAUUCCUCAGAGGAAGGGGAGAGGGAACACAUCGGCUUCGGUGAAGCUGAAAACGCUUAUUCCGUACAUCGUUGCUCGCCGUACGAUUUCGGGGAGCGCCCGGGCGGCUCCUUCGGCGGACGUGCUCGCGGCGGCAGGGCGACGCGCUGGAGCGGCGCUGCCUCGUCCCGUGGUCGCGGAGCGGGUGUCCCCCACCACGGUGCUCCGCCAGCGACACCGCGGCUGUAGGUGUUAGCAGCUGGGAGGAGAAGGGUUGGCGCCUUUGAUCUCCCUAGUGACUGAAACGAGUGAGCAGCGGUGACAGCCAGCCAAAUGAUUUACCCGAAAGAACACCUUCUAAGGAGUUUUUCAAGACUGUCUUCACCUCCGUGAAUGAAGACCCACAGGAAGAGCCAAUCGGGUGCCCACUGAAGUCAACGAACGGUACUGGUGGCCUUCGAUGGACAUUUGAUAAGACCAGCAAUGGCAGAGCUUUGGCUGCGAAGGUGGAGAGAUACUGGCUCCAACACUGCAGGAAGAUGCCAUACUGUCAUGUGCUAUGGACGAAGGCAUUCAGGACCAGAUCUGCAUGGAAGAGUGCACAGGCUCUUCCUAGCACGCUGACCCUGGGAUACUUCAGCAUGCACUGA